RNAcentral lists this ribosomal RNA (497 nucleotides) under uncultured bacterium. RNAcentral's name for it is "partial 16S ribosomal RNA". It matches the Rfam family "Bacterial small subunit ribosomal RNA", at positions 28 to 507 of the family's 1533-position model. The record is from RNAcentral.
GAUGAACGCUGGCGGCGUGCCUAAUACAUGCAAGUCGAGCGAACGGACGAGAAGCUUGCUUCUCUGAUGUUAGCGGCGGACGGGUGAGUAACACGUGGAUAACCUACCUAUAAGACUGGGAUAACUUCGGGAAACCGGAGCUAAUACCGGAUAAUAUUUUGAACCGCAUGGUUCAAAAGUGAAAGACGGUCUUGCUGUCACUUAUAGAUGGAUCCGCGCUGCAUUAGCUAGUUGGUAAGGUAACGGCUUACCAAGGCAACGAUGCAUAGCCGACCUGAGAGGGUGAGCGGCCACACGGGAGCUGAGGCACGGUCGAGACUCCUACGGGAGGCCGCAGUAGGGAAUCUUCCGCAAUGGGCGAAAGCCGGACGGAGCACCGCCGCGUGAGUGAUGAAGGUCUUCGGAUCGUAAAACUCUGUUAUUAGGGAAAAACAUAUGUGUAAGUAACAGGGCACAUCUUGACGGUACCUAAUCAGAAAGCCACGGCUAACUACGUG